Molecule: ribosomal RNA, 276 nt
Filed under: uncultured Staphylococcus sp.
Lineage: Bacteria; Bacillati; Bacillota; Bacilli; Caryophanales; Staphylococcaceae
Description: partial 16S ribosomal RNA
Rfam family: Bacterial small subunit ribosomal RNA
Source: RNAcentral
GUGCCAGCAGCCGCGGUAAUACGUAGGUGGCAAGCGUUAUCCGGAAUUAUUGGGCGUAAAGCGCGCGUAGACAGUUUUUUAAGUCUGAUGUGAAAGCCCACGGCUCAACCGUGGAGGGUCAUUGGAAACUGGAAAACUUGAGUGCAGAAGAGGAAAGUGGAAUUCCAUGUGUAGCGGUGAAAUGCGCAGAGAUAUGGAGGAACACCAGUGGCGAAGGCGACUUUCUGGUCUGUAACUGACGCUGAUGUGCGAAAGCGUGGGGAUCAAACAGGAUUA